UACAGAGGUCUCAAGCGUUGUUCGGAUUCAUUGGGCGUAAAGGGUGCGUAGGUGGCGGGGUAAGUCAGGUGUGAAAUCUCGGAGCUCAACUCCGAAACUGCACUUGAUACUGCCUUGCUUGAGUACUGGAGAGGAGAUUGGAAUUUACGGUGUAGCAGUGAAAUGCGUAGAUAUCGUAAGGAAGACCAGUGGCGAAGGCGAAUCUCUGGACAGUUACUGACACUGAGGCACGAAGGCCAGGGGAGCAAACGGG
This 253-nucleotide ribosomal RNA is filed under the name uncultured bacterium. RNAcentral describes it as "partial 16S ribosomal RNA". It matches the Rfam family "Bacterial small subunit ribosomal RNA", at positions 524 to 776 of the family's 1533-position model. The record is from RNAcentral.